RNAcentral lists this signal recognition particle RNA (96 nucleotides) under Candidatus Thioglobus pontius. RNAcentral's name for it is "signal recognition particle sRNA small type". It matches the Rfam family "Bacterial small signal recognition particle RNA". Rfam says of the family: The signal recognition particle (SRP) is a universally conserved ribonucleoprotein involved in the co-translational targeting of proteins to membranes. Archaeal SRP consists of a 7S RNA and homologues of the eukaryotic SRP19 and SRP54 proteins. In most bacteria, the SRP consists of a 4.5S RNA and the Ffh protein (a homologue of the eukaryotic SRP54 protein). The record is from RNAcentral. Lineage: Bacteria; Pseudomonadati; Pseudomonadota; Gammaproteobacteria; Pseudothioglobaceae (SeqCode).
UUAGGGUGCGCCUGCAAUAAAUAGUUACAAACCCCGCCAGGUCCGGAAGGAAGCAACGGUAGUAAUUUUUUUAUGUGUUGGAUGUUAUUCUGAGUG